RNAcentral lists this ribosomal RNA (352 nucleotides) under Kryptoperidinium foliaceum. RNAcentral describes it as "partial Bacterial large subunit ribosomal RNA". It matches the Rfam family "Bacterial large subunit ribosomal RNA", at positions 1980 to 2331 of the family's 2925-position model. Lineage: Eukaryota; Dinophyceae; Peridiniales; Kryptoperidiniaceae. The record is from RNAcentral.
GUUCCGACCUGCACGAAUGGCGUAACGACUUCCCCGCUGUCUCCAGCAGAGACUCAGUGAAAUUGAAUUCCCCGUGAAGAUGCGGGGUUCCUGCGGUCAGACGGAAAGACCCCGUGCACCUUUACUAUAGCUUUACACUGGCAUUCGCCAAGGCAUGUGUAGGAUAGGUGGUAGGCUUUGAAGCGUGGGCGCCAGCUCGCGUGGAGCCAUCCUUGAAAUACCACCCUUAUCUUCGUGGAUGUCUAACCGCGGCCCGUUAUCCGGGUCCGGGACAGUGUAUGGUGGGUAGUUUGACUGGGGCGGUCGCCUCCUAAAGCGUAACGGAGGCGCGCGAAGGUUGGCUCAGAGCGGU